AUGGCCAAUGCGGGUCAAAGUGUAGUACCUGUUCUUAUCAGCUUAAUAUCUUAUACGGGUUGUAUUUGGACCCAAGAUAUUAUUAAACAUAUUUUUGCAAGUUCGUGGAGUGUUUGAAGCCUGCUCCACCUCUGCCGUGCGUUGGCCCAGUAUUGCACUACCUUCGGGAUCGGCCCAAGGCAU
Dermacentor andersoni is the source of this 183-nucleotide small nuclear RNA. RefSeq annotates it as U2 spliceosomal RNA. Lineage: Eukaryota; Metazoa; Arthropoda; Arachnida; Ixodida; Ixodidae. The record is from RefSeq and is a predicted model, not a curated record.